GGGAUCACGGAAACUCCAAACGUCUCAAUUUUCCGCCUUCAAAAUACUAGCGUUGGCAUGGAUCGGGGCAUAUUCGGCACAUUAUCUUGAGACAUUAUACUUUCGAGAGCUAUUGGACCGAAAGUUUCAUUUUCGGUCAACAGGGACGGUUUGUUAUAGCCGAGUCAUCCGGAGAGUGGAGAAUUAAUUACCCCUAUAAAUUUCUUUUAUCAUUAUAUUGUAUAGAGAUUCACCUUACUAGGCAAAAAGUGGCACCUUUCUUCUGCCUCCUACCAGGUUUUCCUUUGCUUGACAACUAGUGCAGAGGGGCUGAGAGGUUAAUCCAUGCAAAUAACAGAUAUGGUUAUUUUAAUAAGGUCUGAUCGUAGAAGAUGCACUUCAUGGUAUUGAUCUUUCCAUUCUUGCAAUUGCUUAUGAUAAUGUUAAGAAUGUUUUGGCUACGGAUGUCGAGAGAUCAAUAAGUACUAAAGAUUUGAUUUUGUUGGACCUCCACCUGACCCUAGCGGCUCGGCCUUGCUCUUAGCCUCUGCUGCCGCCGCCAAGCUCCCUCAUUGCUGCCUUCGUUACCUUGAUCUCCCUUGCCCACUUGCUUUGCUUGAUGUAAGUAUGCGCCAGUCACCUUGAGGGCAUCCUCCAUGAUGGCGAUGUGCCGGACGGCGGCAAAAGAGGGUGCUUGAGGAUCUGCAUGGGCGUAUAUAUAGUCAGACAUCGACUAUGCAUUAGAUAAAUCUUAGAUACUUAUAGAGACUAAGAAACCUAAAUAACACCUUCUAGCCAACUUUUUUGAGUGAAGUAUUUAGCCAGCUCAUAACAUAUCUAAAUUAGAGAAUAUUGCAAUAUGAGCCCAUAUGGGUUGACCACAAAUUGAUUGUAGUGUUAUAUGAUUAGAUUUAUGAUAAUUGUGUUUGAAUGCGAAUAGAUUUGGAUUCUUAGCCUAGCGAAGAUGCAAGAGCUUAAAUAGAAUGAGUAUAAAAUGACCUACGUCGGAUGAGUACUAAAUAAUAUCUUCUGGCUAGCUUUUUCAAAUAAAAUCUUAAAUUAUAAUAAGAUGUGACAAAGCUCCAUGAUUCAUAACCUCCUUGGCUUGCACUAUCCAUCUUCAGCCAUCUUACCGGACUUAGAAAGAAAUUCCCCAAUGAGCUCAAAGUGGAACUCUCACCAAACAAUUGUUGGAAUCGCAAAAAUCGUAGGGUAUCCGCCCUCAAAUUUAGCAUCGAGAUUCUGGCUCAAAAUACCU
RNAcentral lists this long non-coding RNA (1237 nucleotides) under Phoenix dactylifera (date palm). RNAcentral describes it as "long non-coding RNA (PDAC_LNC015343)". Lineage: Eukaryota; Viridiplantae; Streptophyta; Magnoliopsida; Arecales; Arecaceae. The record is from RNAcentral.